This 1239-nucleotide ribosomal RNA is filed under the name metagenome. RNAcentral's name for it is "bacterial LSU rRNA". It matches the Rfam family "Bacterial large subunit ribosomal RNA", at positions 1564 to 2813 of the family's 2925-position model. The record is from RNAcentral.
UGAUGACGAGACGCUAAGGCGUUGAAGCAGUGUAUGUCAGACUUCCAAGAAAAGCUCGCAAUGUCAUAAAUAAAGAAUGCCUGUACCAUAACCGACACAGGUGGGUAGGUAGAGUAUACUAAGGGGCGCGAGAUAACUCUCUCUAAGGAACUCGGCAAAAUGACUCCGUAACUUCGGGAGAAGGAGUGCCUUAUUUAUAAGGUUGCAAUAACAAGAUCCAAGCAACUGUUUAUCAAAAACACAGGUCUCCGCUAAGUCGUAAGACGAUGUAUGGGGGCUGACGCCUGCCCAGUGCCAGAAGGUUAAAGAAGUUGGUUAGUGUAUGCGAAGCUGAUGACUGAAGCCCUGGUGAACGGCGGCCGUAACAAUAACGGUCCUAAGGUAGCGAAAUUCCUUGUCGGGUAAGUUCCGACCCGCACGAAAGGCGUAAUGAUUUGGAUACUGUCUCGGAGAGAGGCUCGGUGAAAUAGACUUGUCUGUGAAGAUGCGGACUACCUGCACCAGGACAGAAAGACCCUAUGAAGCUUUACUGUAACUUGAAAUUGGAAUUGGACUUUGCUUGCGCAGUAUAGGUGGGAAGCGUUGAAGAUAUUCUUGCGGGAGUAUUGGAGCUAUCAGUGAGAUACCACUCUUGUAAUGUUAGAUUUCUAACUUUGAACCAUAAUCUGGUCAAAGAACAGUUUCAGGGGGCAGUUUGACUGGGGCGGUCGCCUCCCAAAUGGUAACGGAGGCGUACAAAGGUUUCCUCUGAACGGAUAGAAAUCGUAUCUAGAGUGUAAAGGCAUAAGGAAGCUUGACUGUGAGACCUACAAGUCGAGCAGGGACGAAAGUCGGUCUUAGUGAUCUGACGGUACUGAGUGGAAAGGCCGUCACUCAACGGAUAAAAGUUACUCUAAGGAUAACAGGCUGAUCUCCCCCAAGAGUUCACAUCGACGGGGAGGUUUGGCACCUCGAUGUCGGCUCAUCGCAUCCUGGGGCGGUAGUACGUCCCAAGGGUUGGGCUGUUCGCCCAUGAAAGCGGUACGCGAGCUGGGUUCAGAACGUCGUGAGACAGUUCGGUCCAUAUCCGGUGUAGGCGCUAGAAUAUUGAGAGGAGCCUUCUUUAGUACAAGAGGACCGAGAAGGACACACCGCUGGUGUACCAGUUAUCGUGCCAACGGUAAACGCUGGGUAGCUAUGUGUGGAGUGGAUAACCGCUGAAAGCAUCUAAGUGGGAAGCCCACCUCAAGAUGAGUAUUC